This 228-nucleotide ribosomal RNA is filed under the name uncultured bacterium. Its description in RNAcentral is "partial 16S ribosomal RNA". It matches the Rfam family "Bacterial small subunit ribosomal RNA", at positions 524 to 752 of the family's 1533-position model. The record is from RNAcentral.
UACAGAGGGGGCAAGCGUUAUUCGGAAUUAUUGGGCGUAAAGGGCGCGUAGGCGGUUUUUUAAGUCGGAUGUGCAAUCCCCGAGCUCAACCUGGGAACUGCAUAGGUGACUGCAAGGCUAGAGUACGGCAGAGGGGGGUAGAAUUCCACGUGUAGCAGUGAAAUGCGUAGAUAUGUGGAGGAAUACCGAUGGCGAAGGCAGCCCCUGGGUCGAUACUGACGCUCAUGC